Molecule: ribosomal RNA, 328 nt
Filed under: uncultured bacterium
Lineage: Bacteria
Description: bacterial SSU rRNA
Rfam family: Bacterial small subunit ribosomal RNA
Source: RNAcentral
GACGAACGCUGGCGGCGUGCCUAAUACAUGCAAGUCGAACGCUUCUUUUUCCACCGGAGCUUGCUCCACCGGAAAAAGAGGAGUGGCGAACGGGUGAGUAACACGUGGGUAACCUGCCCAUCAGAAGGGGAUAACACUUGGAAACAGGUGCUAAUACCGUAUAACAAUCGAAACCGCAUGGUUUUGAUUUGAAAGGCGCUUUCGGGUGUCGCUGAUGGAUGGACCCGCGGUGCAUUAGCUAGUUGGUGAGGUAACGGCUCACCAAGGCGACGAUGCAUAGCCGAGUUGAGAGACUGAUCGGCCACAAUGGAACUGAGACACGGUCCAU